Molecule: non-coding RNA, 109 nt
Organism: Acanthosepion pharaonis
Lineage: Eukaryota; Metazoa; Mollusca; Cephalopoda; Sepiida; Sepiidae
Source: the annotation of a GenBank genome assembly
AGCUAUAUCACAUUGAAACACUGGUUCUCAUAUGAUCAUCAAAGUUAAGCAACAUCAGGCCUAGUCCAUACUUAGAUGGGUGACUACUUGGAAUACGAGGUGCUGUAAG